This 24-nucleotide non-coding RNA is filed under the name Arabidopsis thaliana (thale cress). Lineage: Eukaryota; Viridiplantae; Streptophyta; Magnoliopsida; Brassicales; Brassicaceae. The record is from RNAcentral.
CAAGUACCGCCAAGUCCCGCCACU